UUAAGCGACUAAGCGUACACGGUGGAUGCCCUGGCAGUCAGAGGCGAUGAAGGACGUGCUAAUCUGCGAUAAGCGUCGGUAAGGUGAUAUGAACCGUUAUAACCGGCGAUUUCCGAAUGGGGAAACCCAGUGUGUUUCGACACACUAUCAUUAACUGAAUCCAUAGGUUAAUGAGGCGAACCGGGGGAACUGAAACAUCUAAGUACCCCGAGGAAAAGAAAUCAACCGAGAUUCCCCCAGUAGCGGCGAGCGAACGGGGAGCAGCCCAGAGCCUGAAUCAGUGUGUGUGUUAGUGGAAGCGUCUGGAAAGGCGCGCGAUACAGGGUGACAGCCCCGUACACAAAAAUGCACAUGCUGUGAGCUCGAUGAGUAGGGCGGGACACGUGGUAUCCUGUCUGAAUAUGGGGGGACCAUCCUCCAAGGCUAAAUACUCCUGACUGACCGAUAGUGAACCAGUACCGUGAGGGAAAGGCGAAAAGAACCCCGGCGAGGGGAGUGAAAAAGAACCUGAAACCGUGUACGUACAAGCAGUGGGAGCACAGAGCAAUCUGUGUGACUGCGUACCUUUUGUAUAAUGGGUCAGCGACUUAUAUUCUGUAGCAAGGUUAACCGAAUAGGGGAGCCGAAGGGAAACCGAGUCUUAACUGGGCGUUAAGUUGCAGGGUAUAGACCCGAAACCCGGUGAUCUAGCCAUGGGCAGGUUGAAGGUUGGGUAACACUAACUGGAGGACCGAACCGACUAAUGUUGAAAAAUUAGCGGAUGACUUGUGGCUGGGGGUGAAAGGCCAAUCAAACCGGGAGAUAGCUGGUUCUCCCCGAAAGCUAUUUAGGUAGCGCCUCGUGAAUUCAUCUCCGGGGGUAGAGCACUGUUUCGGCAAGGGGGUCAUCCCGACUUACCAACCCGAUGCAAACUGCGAAUACCGGAGAAUGUUAUCACGGGAGACACACGGCGGGUGCUAACGUCCGUCGUGAAGAGGGAAACAACCCAGACCGCCAGCUAAGGUCCCAAAGUCAUGGUUAAGUGGGAAACGAUGUGGGAAGGCCCAGACAGCCAGGAUGUUGGCUUAGAAGCAGCCAUCAUUUAAAGAAAGCGUAAUAGCUCACUGGUCGAGUCGGCCUGCGCGGAAGAUGUAACGGGGCUAAACCAUGCACCGAAGCUGCGGCAGCGACGCUUAUGCGUUGUUGGGUAGGGGAGCGUUCUGUAAGCCUGCGAAGGUGUGCUGUGAGGCAUGCUGGAGGUAUCAGAAGUGCGAAUGCUGACAUAAGUAACGAUAAAGCGGGUGAAAAGCCCGCUCGCCGGAAGACCAAGGGUUCCUGUCCAACGUUAAUCGGGGCAGGGUGAGUCGACCCCUAAGGCGAGGCCGAAAGGCGUAGUCGAUGGGAAACAGGUUAAUAUUCCUGUACUUGGUGUUACUGCGAAGGGGGGACGGAGAAGGCUAUGUUGGCCGGGCGACGGUUGUCCCGGUUUAAGCGUGUAGGCUGGUUUUCCAGGCAAAUCCGGAAAAUCAAGGCUGAGGCGUGAUGACGAGGCACUACGGUGCUGAAGCAACAAAUGCCCUGCUUCCAGGAAAAGCCUCUAAGCAUCAGGUAACAUCAAAUCGUACCCCAAACCGACACAGGUGGUCAGGUAGAGAAUACCAAGGCGCUUGAGAGAACUCGGGUGAAGGAACUAGGCAAAAUGGUGCCGUAACUUCGGGAGAAGGCACGCUGAUAUGUAGGUGAAGUCCCUCGCGGAUGGAGCUGAAAUCAGUCGAAGAUACCAGCUGGCUGCAACUGUUUAUUAAAAACACAGCACUGUGCAAACACGAAAGUGGACGUAUACGGUGUGACGCCUGCCCGGUGCCGGAAGGUUAAUUGAUGGGGUUAGCGGUAACGCGAAGCUCUUGAUCGAAGCCCCGGUAAACGGCGGCCGUAACUAUAACGGUCCUAAGGUAGCGAAAUUCCUUGUCGGGUAAGUUCCGACCUGCACGAAUGGCGUAAUGAUGGCCAGGCUGUCUCCACCCGAGACUCAGUGAAAUUGAACUCGCUGUGAAGAUGCAGUGUACCCGCGGCAAGACGGAAAGACCCCGUGAACCUUUACUAUAGCUUGACACUGAACAUUGAGCCUUGAUGUGUAGGAUAGGUGGGAGGCUUUGAAGUGUGGACGCCAGUCUGCAUGGAGCCGACCUUGAAAUACCACCCUUUAAUGUUUGAUGUUCUAACGUGGACCCGUGAUCCGGGUUGCGGACAGUGUCUGGUGGGUAGUUUGACUGGGGCGGUCUCCUCCUAAAGAGUAACGGAGGAGCACGAAGGUUGGCUAAUCCUGGUCGGACAUCAGGAGGUUAGUGCAAUGGCAUAAGCCAGCUUGACUGCGAGCGUGACGGCGCGAGCAGGUGCGAAAGCAGGUCAUAGUGAUCCGGUGGUUCUGAAUGGAAGGGCCAUCGCUCAACGGAUAAAAGGUACUCCGGGGAUAACAGGCUGAUACCGCCCAAGAGUUCAUAUCGACGGCGGUGUUUGGCACCUCGAUGUCGGCUCAUCACAUCCUGGGGCUGAAGUAGGUCCCAAGGGUAUGGCUGUUCGCCAUUUAAAGUGGUACGCGAGCUGGGUUUAGAACGUCGUGAGACAGUUCGGUCCCUAUCUGCCGUGGGCGCUGGAGAACUGAGGGGGGCUGCUCCUAGUACGAGAGGACCGGAGUGGACGCAUCACUGGUGUUCGGGUUGUCAUGCCAAUGGCACUGCCCGGUAGCUAAAUGCGGAAGAGAUAAGUGCUGAAAGCAUCUAAGCACGAAACUUGCCCCGAGAUGAGUUCUCCCUGACUCCUUGAGAGUCCUGAAGGAACGUUGAAGACGACGACGUUGAUAGGCCGGGUGUGUAAGCGCAGCGAUGCGUUGAGCUAACCGGUACUAAUGAACCGUGAGGCUUAACCUU
This 2906-nucleotide ribosomal RNA is filed under the name Escherichia coli HVH 152 (4-3447545). Its description in RNAcentral is "bacterial LSU rRNA". It matches the Rfam family "Bacterial large subunit ribosomal RNA". The record is from RNAcentral. Lineage: Bacteria; Pseudomonadati; Pseudomonadota; Gammaproteobacteria; Enterobacterales; Enterobacteriaceae.